AUUGAACGCUGGCGGCAGGCCUAACACAUGCAAGUCGAACGAGUGGCGGACGGGUGAGUAAUGUCUGGGAAACUGCCCGAUGGAGGGGGAUAACUCCUGGAAACGGUAGCUAAUACCGCAUACCCUCGGAUGUGCCCAGAUGGGAUUAGCGAGUAGGUGGGGUAACGGCUCACCUAGGCGACGAUCCCUAGCUGGUCUGAGAGGAUGACCAGCCACACGGGAACGGAGACACGGUCCAGACUCCUAGGGGAGGCAGCAGGGGGGAAUAUUGCACAAUGGGCGCAAGCCUGAUGCAGCCAGGCCGCGUGUAUGAAGAGGGCCUUCGGGUUGUAAAGUACUUGCAGCGAGGAGGCGUUACUCGCAGAAGAAGCACCGGCUAACUCCGUGCCAGCAGCCGCGGUAUUC
RNAcentral lists this ribosomal RNA (405 nucleotides) under uncultured bacterium. RNAcentral describes it as "partial 16S ribosomal RNA". It matches the Rfam family "Bacterial small subunit ribosomal RNA", at positions 29 to 525 of the family's 1533-position model. The record is from RNAcentral.